UACGUAGGCAGCGAGCGUUGUUCGGAGUUACUGGGCGUAAAGGGUGUGUAGGCGGUUGUUUAAGUUUGGUGUGAAGUCUCCCGGCUCAACUGGGAGGGUGCGCCGAAUACUGAAUGACUCGAGUGCGGGAGAGGAGAGUGGAAUUCCUGGUGUAGCGGUGAAAUGCGUAGAUAUCAGGAGGAACACCGGCGGUGUAGACGGCUCUCUGGACCGUAACUGACGCUGAGACACGAAAGCGUGGGUAGCAAACAGG
Molecule: ribosomal RNA, 253 nt
Filed under: uncultured bacterium
Lineage: Bacteria
Description: partial 16S ribosomal RNA
Rfam family: Bacterial small subunit ribosomal RNA
Source: RNAcentral